CUAUCUACAAAAGUUGGAUCCUUUGCUAAAUCACCCAGUAGAUUUUUUUCAAUCGUCAAGGAUGAUAAACUUGAAAGCCGCUCAUUGGUCAUUGUGUUUCUAAGAAAAGUCUUAAUACGUUUUAAUGUACUUAUAGACCGUUCACUAGAAGCCGUAGCAGAUGAAAUAGUUAACACUAACUGACAAUGUUAAGGCAUUGAAACCACUGGUUAGUAAAAAUUC
Non-coding RNA from Cinara cedri, 222 nucleotides. The record is from the annotation of a GenBank genome assembly. Lineage: Eukaryota; Metazoa; Arthropoda; Insecta; Hemiptera; Aphididae.